This 468-nucleotide ribosomal RNA is filed under the name uncultured bacterium. Its description in RNAcentral is "partial 16S ribosomal RNA". It matches the Rfam family "Bacterial small subunit ribosomal RNA", at positions 28 to 507 of the family's 1533-position model. The record is from RNAcentral.
GACGAACGCUGGCGGUGUGCUUAACACAUGCAAGUCGAACGGAAAGGCCUCGCUUUUGUGGGAUGCUCGAGUCGCGCACGGGUGUAUCACGUGUGAGUCACCUGCCCUUGACUUUGGUAUCUUCUGAGGAAUCUGGCUCUUAUCGCGGAUAGGCGCCUGUGGCGCAGGGGGGGGGUUGAAAAUUUUGGGCGGUUGGGGGGGGACUCGCGGCUUAUCAGCUUGUGUGUGGGAUUGUGGCUCACCAGGGCUUUGACGGAUCGCGGGCCGGAGGGGGUGACCGGCCACAUUGGGACUGGAAUACGGCCCGGACUCCUACGGGGGGCAGCAGUGGGGAAUAUUGCACAAGGGUCGGAGCCCGAAGGCAGCAACGCCGCGUGCGGGAUGACGGCCUUCGGUUGUUAAACCGCUUUCGUCUGGGAGGAAGCGUGAGUGACGGUAGUGGGUAAAGAAGCACCGGCUAACUACGUG